GGAUGUGAGAGUGAUCUGGCUGCAACAUCUGUAACCCCAUUGAUGACCAGCGUUGAUUAGCCUGGUGGCUAGGUAGGUAUUCUCUUCCUCCCUCACCAUUCCAUGUGCAUCCCUCUCUAAGUCGUAUGCUUAGGUGAAGAGAAUGACCUUCUCAGAUAGAAGUGUACCAUUCUUCAGUCAAGGGUAGACCAGUUCCCCUUCUAGAACAAGCUCCCGAGAUCCAAAUUAACUUCAUUGCUUCUUAAAGACGAUUACUUAAAAUUAAAUUUAAAGAAAAGGAUGCUAGGAAUAGAGUUUAUUU
RNAcentral lists this small nuclear RNA (301 nucleotides) under Sarcophilus harrisii (Tasmanian devil). RNAcentral describes it as "7SK RNA". It matches the Rfam family "7SK RNA". Rfam says of the family: 7SK was discovered as an abundant small nuclear RNA in the mid-70s but a possible function has only recently been suggested. Two independent studies have found that 7SK RNA binds the CDK9/cyclin T complex (known as elongation factor P-TEFb). The record is from Rfam by way of RNAcentral. Lineage: Eukaryota; Metazoa; Chordata; Mammalia; Dasyuromorphia; Dasyuridae.